RNAcentral lists this long non-coding RNA (1370 nucleotides) under Homo sapiens (human). RNAcentral describes it as "non-protein coding lnc-CHPF-4:1". Lineage: Eukaryota; Metazoa; Chordata; Mammalia; Primates; Hominidae. The record is from RNAcentral.
CGAAGAAGGGUGGGGCCUGAGAAGCCCAGCCUGGAACUUAAGACUGGGACCCGAGCUGUUGGGGAAUCGGCCUCGGGGCAGCAGCCGAAGCUGUUCUCCACGUACACCUCGUACUUGCCGCUGUCCUGAGGCGUGGCCCGGCGAAUGGUCAGCGUCGUGGUGGUGCUGCCGAUCUCGAAGAACACCCUGCGGAAGGGCGGCGGGGAGGAGGGCGGAGCCGUGGUCAGUACACGGGCGCACUGGGCGGGGCUCCUUAGCCAGCUCUGUUCCUCGCUGCCCAGUCCCCGCCCCCGUCACUCCAGCCAGAUUUCUGGGCUCAGUCCCACCCAGGUUCCAGCCCCAGGCCCUGGCCGUGCCGCAGGUCCCGGCCCUCGCCUGUCAUCCUCCUCGAUGUCCUCCCCGUCCUUGGUCCAGCCUACGUCGGGCGCAGGCUCUCCCAGGAUCUCCGCAGUCAGCGUCACGGUGGUGCCUUUGCGCGCCUUAGUGUUGUCGGGUCCCUUUUGAAUCUUCGUCGGGACUAGCGGAAGGAAAGGGGAGCGAAACCCCGUGAAGGACCCGGAGAUGAGGCAGGGCAUCACCUCACCGGCUAAUACCCGGCACUAAAUACAGAUGCAUUUAAACUCGCAGUGUGACGUUGAGCAAAUCAUUAGCCUCUCUGGUUUCAUCUCCUUGGCUGUUAAAGGGACUUAUCCCUGCCUCUCCUACUUCUCGGGGUCGAAUAGAGGAUCAAGAGAGAUAAGGCGGGCGAAAGCCCCUGAAUGUUCACACAUCUCGCGGUGCCUCAGAGACCGCUCCGGGUAGUGGAAAUUGCCAGAGUUGGGAGCCAGAAGACCCGGGUCCAACCCUGGCUCUGCCUCUGGCUUGCUGUGUGACCUUGGGGACCCGGAGCCGCGUGAUGGAAGUCCACAGCUGACUGCUCAGCCCGGGUGGAGCUGGAUCCCGAGGUAGGGAAGGACGCACUUGGCUGGCGCGGCGAUGCGCCCCAGGCCGUGCCCAGAGCUGGGCUGGCGGGGACCCUGUAGCUAGGCCCAGAGGUAAACACGCGCAGCUGGACCGGGCUGCGGGCUCUGGCUGAGUGGUGCUGGUCUGCGCCCUGGCGCUGCGCCCGGGGCGCGCGUACCUUCCACGAGGAUGCGCGCCGAGUCGGAGCACUGGCCGAAGGGGUUGGUGACGUUGAUGCUGUACUGGCCCAGGUCUGCCAGCUCGCCGUCGCGCACCACCAGUGCCACCACGUCAGGGUCCUCGAAGACGUAGCGGUACUUGGGACCGUCACGUAGCUCCUUGCCGUCCUUACUCCAGCGGAUGAAUGGGUCCGGGAAAGCCGAAAUGCGGCAAGUGAGCUUGGCCGCGCUGCCUUCGAUCAGCACCAC